Molecule: ribosomal RNA, 301 nt
Filed under: uncultured bacterium
Lineage: Bacteria
Description: partial 16S ribosomal RNA
Rfam family: Bacterial small subunit ribosomal RNA
Source: RNAcentral
CAGCAGCCGCGGGAAUACGUAGGUGGCAAGCGUUGUCCGGAAUUAUUGGGCGUAAAGGGCUCGCAGGCGGUUUCUUAAGUCUGAUGUGAAAGCCCCCGGCUCAACCGGGGAGGGUCAUUGGAAACUGGGAAACUUGAGUGCAGAAGAGGAGAGUGGAAUUCCACGUGUAGCGGUGAAAUGCGUAGAGAUGUGGAGGAACACCAGUGGCGAAGGCGACUCUCUGGUCCGUAACUGACGCUGAGGAGCGAAAGCGUGGGGAGCGAACAGGAUUAGAGACCCCCGUAGUCCCUGUCUCUUAUAC